CCGAGUGAGGGCCCUCUGGGUCCAACCUCCCACCCGUGUUUACCAUACCCUGUUGCUUCGGCGGGCCCGCCCUCAGCGGCCGCCGGGAUGGCCCCUUGCGCCGCCGGAGCCCGCGCCUAGAGCCUUUUACGAGUCUUCUGAGUGCAAAAGCUAAAGCUUA
RNAcentral lists this unclassified non-coding RNA (160 nucleotides) under uncultured Penicillium. RNAcentral describes it as "sequence contains ITS1". The record is from RNAcentral. Lineage: Eukaryota; Fungi; Ascomycota; Eurotiomycetes; Eurotiales; Aspergillaceae.